Molecule: long non-coding RNA, 611 nt
Organism: Callorhinus ursinus (northern fur seal)
Lineage: Eukaryota; Metazoa; Chordata; Mammalia; Carnivora; Otariidae
Source: RefSeq, a predicted model, not a curated record
AGGGUUGGGGAAUUUCCACUUCUGAUUAAAAUGAUGGCAGAGGUGACGACCCUUAACGAUUGGUAAGAUUUGGAGUAGAAUUCACCCUGAGUUUGGUGGGGCUUAUCUGUCAAGGAUGCAAGAGGUACGGAGGUUACGAAGCUCCCACCUGUCGCUCUCCGCCAGACGCCGAGACUGCGGCCGGAGAGUUGCUGCACGGGGAUUGGAGGAAAGAAGCAAUCAGUCUCAGCUAGUCUCCACCUUCCUGACAGCCCCUGGUUGGAGGAGCGGAGCGUCAGUCACUAGGGCGGUCGCCACCUCUGGGACAGGAAAAGUCUGAGAAACUGUCACAGUCAAGAGGAGCCUAAGGAGACAUGAUGACAAAAUGUAAUAUAGUAUCCUGGAUGGAAUACUGGAACAGAAAAAGGACAUGAGGUAGAGAAGAUGGUAAUGGGUUCACUUUAUGUGGUUGGUUUCAGACUGCAAUGGAAAGAACUUAGAUAUGUACAACAUUAUAUGGUAAGUCCUCCAGAAACCCCCAAGAGAAACAUACACAAUAGAAACACAGAUAAAUAUCUUUACUGUAACUGGAAACAAUUUUUUUGAAGAUUUUAUUUAUUUUUGAGAGAGAG